Molecule: small RNA, 520 nt
Filed under: Pan troglodytes (chimpanzee)
Lineage: Eukaryota; Metazoa; Chordata; Mammalia; Primates; Hominidae
Description: processed transcript
Source: RNAcentral
UGGGGACACUCAGUUGCAGAUAGGUGAUGGGAGACAGUCGGGGCCCAAUUUGAAGCAGUUGCCAGUGGAUGAUAAAGUUGCUCUCAAGAGCAGUGCUUGAGGGAAGAAAAUAAAUUCUCCAUUUCAAAAGAAAAUCCAGGGCAGGACAAUCUUACUGUUGGAACAAAGAAAAGAGCCCGAUGGAAAAACGGUUAGCUUUUGCUUUUGAGAAAUGUGGUACCUCCAUGGCUUGAUGGCAGGCUGCGUGCAUCCAUUCGCGGCGAGUAGAAUCUAAGACUGCAGCCCGUGCUGAUGACUGUGGCUGUGAUGAAUUCCUGCCUGUGACCACAGCUGCUCUCCAGGUGCUGGGUGGCUCAUCCCUUGACGCCCAUCCAUUCUGUCUCCUGCCUGGCCUUGUUCACUGUCGCUCUUCUCGCUCAGCUGAGGUCCCUCCUCCUCCGCUGUUUGGUGUCCUUGCCAGUUAAUCACCCUUAGGUGCUGGGCCCUGCACUUACGGACAACAUGGAGCCUGGCUUGUUGA